GAUGAACGCUGGCGGCGUGCUUAACACAUGCAAGUCGAGCGAAGCAUUUUUAAGGAAGUUUUCGGAUGGAAUUAAAAAUGACUGAGCGGCGGACGGGUGAGUAACGCGUGGGUAACCUGCCUCAUACGGGGGGAUAACAGUUGGAAACGACUGCUAAUACCGCAUAAGCGCACAGUGUCACAUGACACGGUGUGAAAAACUCCGGUGGUAUGAGAUGGACCCGCGUCUGAUUAGGUGGUUGGUGAGGUAACGGCCCACCAAGCCGACGAUCAGUAGCCGACCUGAGAGGGUGACCGGCCACAUUGGGACUGAGACACGGCCCAAACUCCUACGGGAGGCAGCAGUGGGGAAUAUUGGACAAUGGGGGAAACCCUGAUCCAGCGACGCCGCGUGAGUGAAGAAGUAUUUCGGUAUGUAAAGCUCUAUCAGCAGGGAAGAAAAUGACGGUACCUGACUAAGAAGCCCCGGCUAACUACGUGCCAGCCGCCGCAGUAA
Molecule: ribosomal RNA, 495 nt
Filed under: uncultured bacterium
Lineage: Bacteria
Description: partial 16S ribosomal RNA
Rfam family: Bacterial small subunit ribosomal RNA
Source: RNAcentral